Long non-coding RNA from Triticum urartu, 1210 nucleotides. RefSeq lists it as uncharacterized. NCBI's taxonomy places the organism in Eukaryota, Viridiplantae, Streptophyta, Magnoliopsida, Poales, Poaceae. The record is from RefSeq and is a predicted model, not a curated record.
AAUUGCGGUGAUCUGCAGCUCUGGUCGCCUCCAGCAGCACCACAUAAUCAAAGUUCCAAACAGUUGUGUUGGACUGCUGCCUCCAGCCAACCAUAACAUAAUCAUUGGAUGUGCUUCUUAUGUAGAAGAUUUGAGUGAUCUAUGUGUUUAUUUCAGAAAACAUUUUCUUAAUGAAGAUUUAUAUUAUAUAGAUAUUCCUGUACAUUAGCUUUAGUUUUUUUGCUAACUAGAAAGUGGUUUCCUUUUUCUUACACCAACUCACUAAAGCAUUGGGUUCAUUUGGGGUUCCUAGAUAGCUAAUUUUAGGAGCACACAAGAUUUAGACUCCUGCUAUGUAAUUAAAGGAAAUCAUGAUAUUGACUAAUAUCCUCUGUAUAUUUACUAACCCUGGAUCAGAGACAUUUAAAUUUAAAUUAUAAUUUGGAAAGUUUAUUUAUAGGAAUGAUACAUAGUAUGUAUAAAUGCAUUUAUGAAAAUAAAUUUAUUUCAGCCACAUGUAAGCCAACACAGUAUCACAUGUAAUAUUUCUCAAUUAGUUAAAAGUAUGCUUCUUUUAAAACUGGUGGUUUUAUUUUUUAUUACAUAAAAAUGUUAUAGUUAUGCAUGGCAAACUAAAAUUGUUGUGCAGACACACUGGUUGAUGACUAGUCUAACUAACUCAGGGAUAAAUUCAUUGAGUAAGAUGUAAAGUUGCCAAGAUAGUAACUAGGGCACAUAGAACGGGACGAAUAUAGAUUCUCUUGUUUUAUUAAGUAGAAUGGAACUUGGUGAAGCUUUAUUUGUGUUGCGCUGUUCUAGAGAUGCAUAAGACACAUGUAACCUUUUUCCCUUGGCAUUGCAGCUGCAUGCACCAACUUGAUGUAGGGCGACACGAUGGAAGAUUGAAAAGAUAUAUGGAUGAUUAUAUGGGUGCGUAACAAGUAUACUACAAUGAUGAUGAUGAUAAUGACGACGAUGAUAUUCUGGUUCAUGAUGAUGAUGAUGAUGGAUGCUUUCAAUUUUAGUUAAGUUGUGGGAUGUUCCUGUUGGAUGAUGUUCCUCAGUUAGUUUUAGUCAAGUUGUAGGGAUAUUGAUGGAUGAUUUUAGUUUAGAUUUUGCUGUCAAGAAAAUUUUAGAUUGUGCAUCACAUUUGGAUGAUGUUCCUCCUGUAAUAUCCAUUGUUGUAAUCCAACAGUUUUAUCCGAUAUAUGAUUUCUUCCUCUUGUGAGUA